This 213-nucleotide unclassified non-coding RNA is filed under the name Hevea brasiliensis (rubber tree). The record is from RNAcentral. Lineage: Eukaryota; Viridiplantae; Streptophyta; Magnoliopsida; Malpighiales; Euphorbiaceae.
ACUUGGAUUGCUUCACAUGGAGUGCAGCCAAAGCACUUGUGUUCACAGCUUGGUGGACUUGACCCAAUUUUGCUCAACCCUUUAGCAUAUGCUUCUUCUCCCAUGCUUUUAAUAUCUUGUUUAGAGACCAUCUGGGAACCUAAGUUUGAGCCCAAAAUAACUUGUGAAGACUCUGGACUCUCUCCUGAUGGGGACCUUGUUGGGUCUGGUUUU